UGCACCUUUUACCUCAGGAAGAACUGGCUGACUGGAGGUGGGCUGUCUGGUUCCAACAGGUAAUGGAUUCUGGAAAACGUAGCAUUCUGGGAAGUACAGCAUUUUUAGAAAGGAUUUAUUGCAGAAUUCACCUUGUGGAAAUACUGCUUGUAGGUUUUGUUUUGGCACAGGGUCGCCUUUUGUUUCAGAAAAUUCAAAUUGUUGCAGAAUGGAAGCUGUUUCCUCCUGAGCUCACCUUGUUCGAGCUUUUAACAAAGAAAAGGCAUUAGUGCUGGGAAUAAUAUUUUUGACAUACUGGUUUUUGUAGGCUGGAUUUGUCUGAUUUUCAUAAGUAGCUUCAGUCUUAAAACAAUAAAGCGGCAUCUAAUGAAAUUUCGUGUAUGUUUAGAGAGUUGACAAAUGGCUUGAUAAGUGUGAUGAUGGUACUAGUAUUAUAAAUGAGUUAGGUAAAUGAGAAGUACAUUCACAUCACAGACACUUUUGCAUGUAUCACUUAAGCUAGGUUUAGGAAGGGGCAGAGGAAAAGGGGAGCAGUUCUUAAUUUUAGCAGAUCAAAUUGCUGUUAACCUUUAUUUAGAGUGUCUUUUAGCGCUCGUUUUCUGUCCUGAAUGAUUUUCAUAUCCUGAAACAACUUUCUCCCUGAGGUUGCUGUGUUGCCAUUUAGCCUAAAUCACUUUAGAUAGUAGGUGGGAAAUGUAAUUCUUCAUUCAGAGUAUAGGGUUUCUUCCAUGGUAGCAAAAGGAGCUGUAAAGAGAAACUGGAAAGAGGAAAUGAAGAGUACAGAGGAAAAGGUAAAAUAGUGCAGCCAACCUUUGAAAAAAAAAAUCAAGGAGAGACUGCAAAUGUUCUUUCUUGUCAAAAAAGAAGUCUAUGUAUGAAAUACAAAAAAAAAAAAAAACCACAAACUUUUUUCCCCCCCUGAAUUUUCAUGAGACAGUGCAUGUGCCAGUGUAUCAGCAAUCCUCCUAAUUGGUUUUAAAUGAAAAUAUACUUCUUGCUGCUUUAUACUGACAUGUCAUUGCAGGGCUUAAUUGGAAAUUUAUAGCUGGCUAAAAAAGAAUUGAUCUGUUGUUUCCACAGCUCCCUCUAGGCAGCAACAGUAAUCCACACAUGAUUGAGGGAAUUCUUACUACAAGUCAAACUGAAAGCAGCAUUGUACAUGCAGCACAAAUACAGCCUUGGUGCUGCUUUGUAUUUCAGUGCUGUUGAGUGUGUGUCAGCAGCAAACCAGGGAGAAAAGAAACCUCCAGAUAACACCUCAGAAUUUGCAGUAAGAAGUUUUUUGUCAAAACUCAUAUUACUUCUUAGGUUUGAUUUGUUACAGCUUUGAUUUCACAGAAGACAUGGAGUACUGUAACUUUUCUUCACUUUUCAAAGAAAAGCCACUGUAAUUUCAUCUGAAACCAGCAUGGGUUUGGCAGUCCAACCAGUUGUCAGUCUGAAUGUUUGAAGCAGGGAGUCUCUUCUUGGCAGCAAAGCAGGUCUUAUAAAAAUAUCACAGUAUGUAUGCAAAUAACAAUCCAACUAUUUCAGUCACUUUGUAAUGACUGUUUAGAGAGCUCUUAGAUAUGGGUUGUUAAUGAAAUCGGUGUUCACAACAGAUUUCAUUCCUUAAAAGAGAGAAGAAAAAUAGAGAACCCAAAGGAGUCUCCUCAUCACAGCUGCAUUUUGAAUAGCUGAGAACCAAAAAUGAAUAUGCUCCUUCUCCUCGAAUUCAUUAACAAAGCUUCACAAGCUUCAGUGGAACUGUUGAAGGUUUGCAGCAGUAAGGAUGUGAUGUCAGAUGGCCACGCAGACAAGCCCUGUCAUUGCAUAUAAACUGGAUGGCACAGAGAAGUCCUCCCAAAAAGCAGAAUGCAGAGUGCUCCUGUUGCUUGAAGACUUGCUUGUGCCCAGUGGCAGGAACAACAGAAUCUCCUGAGGAAGCAGCUUUUCAACCCACUGUGCCACCUGUAGCCUCAGAGGGAAGAUGUGCAGUGCUAUGUUUGGGAGCUGUACGACACCCCAAAUAUAACAGAAGAGUGCACCUUGCUUGGAGACUGUAUUUAUUGUGACCAUGUAAUAUCGUAAUGGAAAUCCAGGUAAAGUUCUGUCAACUGAAAAAUGUUUUUCUGGCCAGGAACAAAAUGAGAAAGGUGCCAUCUGCAAUAUUCAGAAAAAUGCCUUAUUAUCCAAAUACUAAUAAAGAAAAGGCUACCAUGUCACCAA
Molecule: long non-coding RNA, 2208 nt
Organism: Chiroxiphia lanceolata (lance-tailed manakin)
Lineage: Eukaryota; Metazoa; Chordata; Aves; Passeriformes; Pipridae
Exons: 3
Source: RefSeq, a predicted model, not a curated record